GCCAACGGCCAUAUCAUGCUGAAUGCACCAGUUCUCGUCCGAUCACUGAAGUUAAGCAGCAUUGAGCCCUGUUAGUACUUGGAUGGGAGACCGCCUGGGAACACAGGGUGCUGUUGGCA
This 119-nucleotide ribosomal RNA is filed under the name Chloroflexota bacterium. Lineage: Bacteria; Bacillati; Chloroflexota. RNAcentral also lists the same sequence under 1 other name. The record is from RNAcentral.